ACUGUGUCACAUGCCCAUCAAUAGGUAGCAGAGAGGAUAUAGGCUACAUCUACACUCAGUGUUCUGAUAUAUGGAUAUCUAAAUGAUUAGUAGCCUAGCAUU
Molecule: small nucleolar RNA, 102 nt
Organism: Rattus norvegicus (Norway rat)
Lineage: Eukaryota; Metazoa; Chordata; Mammalia; Rodentia; Muridae
Product: small nucleolar RNA SNORA17
Source: Ensembl